This 395-nucleotide ribosomal RNA is filed under the name uncultured bacterium. RNAcentral's name for it is "bacterial SSU rRNA". It matches the Rfam family "Bacterial small subunit ribosomal RNA", at positions 137 to 518 of the family's 1533-position model. The record is from RNAcentral.
CCCGGGAUAGCCCAGGGAAACCUGGAUUAAUACCGGAUGAGACGGGACCCGCGAUGGCGGGACCCGGGAAAGGCGCUGCGGCGCCGCCGGGGGAUGAGUCUGCGUCCCAUUAGCUAGACGGCGGGGUAACGGCCCACCGUGGCGACGAUGGGUAGCCGGCCUGAGAGGGUGGACGGCCACAUUGGAACUGAGACACGGUCCAGACUCCUACGGGAGGCAGCAGCUAAGAAUCUUCCGCAAUGGGCGAAAGCCUGACGGAGCGACGCCGCGUGAACGAAGAAGGCCGUGAGGUUGUAAAGUUCUUUUCGGGAGGGGGGAACAACCGUGGCAGGGAAUGGCCGCGGGAUGACGUGAAUCCCGGAAUAAGCCCCGGCUAACUACGUGCCAGCAGCUGC